GGGAUUACAGGCGUGAGCCAUCACGCCUAGCCAAGAUGCUUAUUUCUAAUUAGCUUUAGUAAUUACUUAGGCUUAAUUUGGGAGUAGCACUGCAUAUUUUGGCUGAGGGAUAUUCUUUUAAACCUGAUAUGCUGAAGAUUAUUUGCUUUUAUAAUAGAGAACGGAGACCAACCUGGGCUGAAGAAAGAAGAUUAAAUGCUGAAACAUUUGGAAUCCCACUUCGUCCAAACCGUGGCCGUGGGGGAUACAGAGGCAGAGGAGGUCUUGGUUUCCGUGGUGGCAGAGGGCGUGGUGGUGGCAGAGGUGGUACCUUCACUGCCCCUCGAGGAUUUCGCGGUGGAUUCAGAGGAGGUCGUGGGGGCCGGGAGUUUGCAGAUUUUGAAUAUAGGAAAACCACAGCUUUUGGACCCUAAAAGGUCUGGAUUGAUCGUACUGCUUUCUGAAAGAAAGACAACAAAGUUGCUGCAUAGUCUACAAACAAGUCUCUGAAAAUAGGUGAAUUUCUAGCUCUUCAUGGUCCUGAACAUUGAUUUCAGUCUUUGCAAAGAAUGAAGAAGUGAAUUCGCUGUACAUUUGUCACCAGCACUGGGUUUUUGUUUUUUGUUUGUUUUCCCGCUUAAUUUCAAAGAUAAAAUGCAGUUACUUUUGGGGGUGGAAGGCUCAUCUUAAAACAUGAGCAUUAAAUAUAUUUGGAAUAGC
This 699-nucleotide small RNA is filed under the name Pan troglodytes (chimpanzee). RNAcentral's name for it is "retained intron". The record is from RNAcentral. Lineage: Eukaryota; Metazoa; Chordata; Mammalia; Primates; Hominidae.